GAUGAACGCUGGCGGCGUGCCUAACACAUGCAAGUCGAGCGAACACACGAGGAGCCUUCCUUCUUUACUUACGCGUCGCACGCGUGUGUAACAUGUGUAUAACCCAGCUUUAUGACUGGGAUAACCUCGUGAAACCGGUGCCAAUUCCCGCUUAUCGAUUCAAGCGCAUAGUUCGGUAGUUUAAGGCCGCUUUGCUUUCAAUGAUAGCUGAUUCCGUGCCGCAUUAGCUAGUUGGUCAGGUAACGGCUUACCAAGGCAACGAUGCGUAGCCGAUCUGAGAGGAUGAUCGGCCACACUGGAACUGAGACACGGUCCAGACUCCUACGGGAGGCAGCAGUAGGGAAUCUUGCGCAAUGGGCGCAAGCCUGACGGAGCAACGCCGCGUGUGUGAUGAAGGUCUUCGGAUCGUAAAACUCUGUUAGCAGGGAGGAACAAAUGUGUGAGUAACUAUGCACGUAUUGACGGUACCUAAUCAGAAAGCCACGGCUAACUACGUG
RNAcentral lists this ribosomal RNA (497 nucleotides) under uncultured bacterium. RNAcentral's name for it is "partial 16S ribosomal RNA". It matches the Rfam family "Bacterial small subunit ribosomal RNA", at positions 28 to 507 of the family's 1533-position model. The record is from RNAcentral.